This 72-nucleotide transfer RNA is filed under the name Gorilla gorilla gorilla (western lowland gorilla). It matches the Rfam family "tRNA". From Rfam's summary of the family: Transfer RNA (tRNA) molecules are approximately 80 nucleotides in length. Their secondary structure includes four short double-helical elements and three loops (D, anti-codon, and T loops). The record is from Rfam by way of RNAcentral. Lineage: Eukaryota; Metazoa; Chordata; Mammalia; Primates; Hominidae.
UAGGACGUGGUGUGAUAAGUAGCACGGAGAAUUUUGGAUUCUCAGGGAUGGGUUCAAUUCCUGUAGUUCUAG